UGUGUAGGCGGUGCUCUAAGUCUGUCGUGAAAUCUCCCGGCUUAACUGGGAGGGUGCGGCGGAAACUAGAAUGCUAGAGGGUGGGAGAGGUAAGCGGAAUUCCUGGUGUAGCGGUGAAAUGCGUAGAUAUCAGGAGGAACACCUGUGGUGUAGACAGCUUACUGGACCACUUCUGACGCUGAGACACGAAAGCGUGGGUAGCAAACA
RNAcentral lists this ribosomal RNA (207 nucleotides) under uncultured bacterium. RNAcentral describes it as "partial 16S ribosomal RNA". It matches the Rfam family "Bacterial small subunit ribosomal RNA", at positions 568 to 774 of the family's 1533-position model. The record is from RNAcentral.